RNAcentral lists this ribosomal RNA (397 nucleotides) under uncultured bacterium. RNAcentral describes it as "bacterial SSU rRNA". It matches the Rfam family "Bacterial small subunit ribosomal RNA", at positions 122 to 507 of the family's 1533-position model. The record is from RNAcentral.
UAAUCUGCCUUUCAGUCUGGGAUAGCCAGUGGAAACAUUGGGUAAUACCGGAUACUCUUAUGCAAGGAAUUGUAUAAGAGAAAAAGUACUUUUGUGCUGCUGAUAGAGGAGCCUGCGCUUGAUUAGCUUGUUGGUGGGGGUAAUGGCCUACCAAGGCGACGAUCAAUAGCCGGCCUGAGAGGGUGUACGGCCACACUGGGACUGAGACACGGCCCAGACUCCUACGGGAGGCAGCAGCUAAGAAUCUUCCGCAAUGGGCGAAAGCCUGACGGAGCGACACCGCGUGGAUGAAGAAGGCCGUGAGGUUGUAAAAUCCUUUUAUUGUUGAGGAAUAAUUAUUAUGCUUAAGUGUAAUAUGAUGACGGUAGGCAAUGAAUAAGCCCCGGCUAAUUACGUG